AUGCUAUGAUGUACCUUUAUCCCGAACCUGACUGUUCUGAUGAGACAUCCUUACGGAUCUGACUACUGAGCU
Molecule: small nucleolar RNA, 72 nt
Organism: Alosa sapidissima (American shad)
Lineage: Eukaryota; Metazoa; Chordata; Actinopteri; Clupeiformes; Clupeidae
Product: small nucleolar RNA SNORD50
Exons: 1
Source: RefSeq, a predicted model, not a curated record